GUUUGACACUAAGAAAAAGAAAGGCCCCUCUCCUGCACAAAUGUGGAGGAAAAAUGAAGGCAAAGCAAAAUAACAGGCAAGUCUGAAAACAAAAGUGUUGCCAGUCACGCUAAGCCUCAGGCACGCAUUCUGAAUGAAGCUAAAGUUUAAAGUCCCCUCUGAUAGAUUUGUGACUUAAAUGUCCACACUAGCAAGUGUGUUUCUCACAUGGAGAAGUAGCACGAUUUUAUGUCAGGAAAGGGAUGAGAACAUGCUUCUUGAACACAUACAAUGCUGAAGACAUUUCCUGGAAAACCAUUGGCCUUUGCUUAGGACAGUUGCAUCACACAGAGAUGUUUGUGGUUCAG
Molecule: long non-coding RNA, 347 nt
Filed under: Homo sapiens (human)
Lineage: Eukaryota; Metazoa; Chordata; Mammalia; Primates; Hominidae
Description: HSALNT0347649
Source: RNAcentral